UACGUAGGGUGCGAGCGUUAAUCGGAAUUACUGGGUGUAAAGCGUGCGCAGGCGGUUCGUUGUGUCGGUGGUGAAAUCCCCGGGCUUAACCUGGGAAUGGCCAUGGAAACUGGCGAACUGGAGUGCGGCAGAGGGGGGUGGAAUUCCGCGUGUAGCAGUGAAAUGCGUAGAGAUGCGGAGGAACACCGAUGGCGAAGGCAGCCCCCUGGGCUAGCACUGACGCUCAGGCACGAAAGCGUGGGGAGCAAACAGG
Molecule: ribosomal RNA, 253 nt
Filed under: uncultured bacterium
Lineage: Bacteria
Description: partial 16S ribosomal RNA
Rfam family: Bacterial small subunit ribosomal RNA
Source: RNAcentral